AUUGAACGCUGGCGGCAGGCUUAACACAUGCAAGUCGAACGAGUGGCGGACGGGUGAGUAAUGCUUGGGAAUCUAGCUUCUGGAGGGGGAUAACUCCGGGAAACUGUAGCUAAUACCGCGUACCAUAGGAUGAGCCCAAGUGGGAUUAGGUAGUUGGUGAGGUAAAGGCUCACCAAGCCGACGAUCUCUAGCUGGUCUUAGCGGAUGACCAGCCACACUGGGACUGAGACACGGGCCAGACUCCUACGUGAGGCAGCAGUGGGGAAUAUUGCGCAAUGGGGGCAACCUGACGCAGCCAUGCCGCGUGAAGUAAGAAGGCCUUCGGGUUGUAAAGUUCUUUCGGUAGCGAGGCGUUAACUACAGAAGAAGCACCGGCUAACUCCGUGCCAGCAGCCGCGGUAAUAC
RNAcentral lists this ribosomal RNA (405 nucleotides) under uncultured bacterium. RNAcentral describes it as "partial 16S ribosomal RNA". It matches the Rfam family "Bacterial small subunit ribosomal RNA", at positions 30 to 526 of the family's 1533-position model. The record is from RNAcentral.